CCUAACAUGCAUUUCUACCCAUACUCAACCAUCAAAACCCUUUAAAACUCACUUAAAACCUCAUGAAACGUAAAAGAAAGCAUAGAUCCACACUUACCUCUUGAAGAUCGAGGGUUGGUGCGACCCAAAGCUUGAGAUGUGGAGAACCCAAACUCUUAAAGUCUCCAAGCUCUCCAAACCUUGAUCCAAGCUUUAAAACUCUUCAAAACAACCAUAUAGCUUAU
RNAcentral lists this long non-coding RNA (224 nucleotides) under Manihot esculenta (cassava). RNAcentral's name for it is "long non-coding RNA (MESC_LNC011715)". The record is from RNAcentral. Lineage: Eukaryota; Viridiplantae; Streptophyta; Magnoliopsida; Malpighiales; Euphorbiaceae.